RNAcentral lists this transfer RNA (80 nucleotides) under Camelus bactrianus (Bactrian camel). It matches the Rfam family "tRNA". Rfam says of the family: Transfer RNA (tRNA) molecules are approximately 80 nucleotides in length. Their secondary structure includes four short double-helical elements and three loops (D, anti-codon, and T loops). Further hydrogen bonds mediate the characteristic L-shaped molecular structure. tRNAs have two regions of fundamental functional importance: the anti-codon, which is responsible for specific mRNA codon recognition, and the 3' end, to which the tRNAs corresponding amino acid is attached (by aminoacyl-tRNA synthetases). tRNAs cope with the degeneracy of the genetic code in two manners: having more than one tRNA (with a specific anti-codon) for a particular amino acid; and 'wobble' base-pairing, i.e. permitting non-standard base-pairing at the 3rd anti-codon position. The record is from Rfam by way of RNAcentral. Lineage: Eukaryota; Metazoa; Chordata; Mammalia; Artiodactyla; Camelidae. RNAcentral also lists the same sequence under 2 other names.
GAGGGUAUAGCUCAAGUGGUAGAGUACAUGCUUAGCAUGCUUAUCAUUGAACAUCCUGGGUUCAAUCCCCAGUACCUCCU